GGGUUGUGAGGUUAAGCGACUAAGCGUACACGGUGGAUGCCCUGGCAGUCAGAGGCGAUGAAGGACGUGCUAAUCUGCGAUAAGCGCCGGUAAGGUGAUAUGAACCGUUAUAACCGGCGAUUUCCGAAUGGGGAAACCCAGUGUGACUCGUCACACUAUCAUUAACUGAAUCCAUAGGUUAAUGAGGCGAACCGGGGGAACUGAAACAUCUAAGUACCCCGAGGAAAAGAAAUCAACCGAGAUUCCCCCAGUAGCGGCGAGCGAACGGGGAGGAGCCCAGAGCCUGAAUCAGCAUAUGUGUUAGUGGAAGCGUCUGGAAAGGCGCGCGAUACAGGGUGACAGCCCCGUACACAAAAGCGCAUGUGCUGUGAGCUCGAUGAGUAGGGCGGGACACGUGGUAUCCUGUCUGAAUAUGGGGGGACCAUCCUCCAAGGCUAAAUACUCCUGACUGACCGAUAGUGAACCAGUACCGUGAGGGAAAGGCGAAA
RNAcentral lists this ribosomal RNA (488 nucleotides) under Salmonella enterica. RNAcentral's name for it is "partial 23S ribosomal RNA". It matches the Rfam family "Bacterial large subunit ribosomal RNA", at positions 1 to 519 of the family's 2925-position model. The record is from RNAcentral. Lineage: Bacteria; Pseudomonadati; Pseudomonadota; Gammaproteobacteria; Enterobacterales; Enterobacteriaceae.